CCCUUAGAUGUUCUGGGCCGCACGCGCGUUACACUGAUGCAUUCAACGAGUUCUUCCUUGGCCGAGAGGCCUGGGCAAUCUUUUGAACGUGCAUCGUGAUAGGGAUAGAUUAUUGCAAUUAUUAAUCUUGAACGAGGAAUUCCUAGUAAACGCAGUUCAUCAAACUGCAUUGAUUACGUCCCUGCCCUUUGUACACACCGCCCGUCGCACCUACCGAUUGAAUGGUCCGGUGAAGCCUCGGGAUUGUGGCGAGUUCCCUUUAUUGGGAGUUUGUCGCGAGAACUUGUCUAAACCUUAUCAUUUAGAGGAAGGUGAAGUCGUAACA
Molecule: ribosomal RNA, 325 nt
Filed under: uncultured eukaryote
Lineage: Eukaryota
Description: partial 18S ribosomal RNA
Rfam family: Eukaryotic small subunit ribosomal RNA
Source: RNAcentral